GAAAUGCGAUAAGUAAUGUGAAUUGCAGAAUUCAGUGAAUCAUCGAAUCUUUGAACGCACAUUGCGCCCGCCAGUAUUCUGGCGGGCAUGCCUGUUCGAGCGUCAUUACAACCCUCAGGCCCCCGGGCCUGGCGUUGGGGAUCGGCGGAAGCCCCCUGCGGGCACAACGCCGUCCCCCAAAUACAGUGGCGGUCCCGCCGCAGCUUCCAUUGCGUAGUAGCUAACACCUCGCAACUGGAGAGCGGCGCGGCCACGCCGUAAAACACCCAACUUCUGAAUGUUGACCUCGAAUCAGGUAGGAAUACCCGCUGAACUUAAGA
RNAcentral lists this unclassified non-coding RNA (320 nucleotides) under plant metagenome. RNAcentral describes it as "partial contains 5.8S ribosomal RNA, internal transcribed spacer 2, and large subunit ribosomal RNA". The stretch from base 1 to 105 matches the Rfam family "5.8S ribosomal RNA", at positions 50 to 154 of the family's 154-position model. The record is from RNAcentral.